CCUACGGGUGGCAGCAGUGGGGGAUAUUGCACAAUGGGGGGAACCCUGAUGCAGCGACGCCGCGUGGGUGAAGAAGCGCCUCGGCGCGUAAAGCCCUGUCAGCAGGGAAGAAAAUGACGGUACCUGAAGAAGAAGCCACGGCUAACUACGUGCCAGCAGCCGCGGGAAUACGUAGGGGGCAAGCGUUAUCCGGAUUUACUGGGUGUAAAGGGGGCGCAGACGGCGAGGCAAGCCAGGAGGGAAAGCCCCGGGCUCAAACCGGGGACUGAAGUUGGAACUGCGUGGCUGGAGUACAGGAGGGGCAGGCAGAAUUCCUGGUGUAGCGGUGAAAUGCGUAGAUAUCAGGAGGAACACCGGUGGCGAAGGCGGCCUGCUGGACUGCAACUGACGUUGAGGCCCGAAAGCGUGGGGAGCAAACAGGAUUAGAUACCCCGGUAGUC
This 440-nucleotide ribosomal RNA is filed under the name uncultured bacterium. Its description in RNAcentral is "partial 16S ribosomal RNA". It matches the Rfam family "Bacterial small subunit ribosomal RNA", at positions 338 to 795 of the family's 1533-position model. The record is from RNAcentral.